UUAUUGGAGAGUUUGAUCCUGGCUCAGGACGAACGCUGGCGGCGUGCCUAAUACAUGCAAGUCGAGCGAAUCAACGGGAGCUUGCUCCCUGAGAUUAGCGGCGGACGGGUGAGUAACACGUGGGUAACCUGCCUGUAAGAUUGGGAUAACUCCGGGAAACCGGAGCUAAUACCGGAUAACAUUUUGAACCGCAUGGUUCAAAAUUGAAAGAUGGCUUUUGCUAUCACUUACAGAUGGACCCGCGGCGCAUUAGCUAGUUGGUGAGGUAACGGCUCACCAAGGCAACGAUGCGUAGCCGACCUGAGAGGGUGAUCGGCCACACUGGGACUGAGACACGGCCCAGACU
This 346-nucleotide non-coding RNA is filed under the name Metabacillus litoralis. Its description in RNAcentral is "Bacillus litoralis Bacterial small subunit ribosomal RNA". It matches the Rfam family "Bacterial small subunit ribosomal RNA", at positions 1 to 337 of the family's 1533-position model. The record is from Rfam by way of RNAcentral. Lineage: Bacteria; Bacillati; Bacillota; Bacilli; Caryophanales; Bacillaceae.